UAAGAUGACUGAAUAAGUGGUGGAUUGUAACUCCACAUAUAAAGGUUAAUACUCCUUUUCUUAC
RNAcentral lists this transfer RNA (64 nucleotides) under Moema staecki. Its description in RNAcentral is "tRNA-Tyr". It matches the Rfam family "tRNA". From Rfam's summary of the family: Transfer RNA (tRNA) molecules are approximately 80 nucleotides in length. The record is from RNAcentral. Lineage: Eukaryota; Metazoa; Chordata; Actinopteri; Cyprinodontiformes; Rivulidae.